GAUGAACGCUGGCGGCGUGCCUAAUACAUGCAAGUCGAGCGAACGGACGAGAAGCUUGCUUCUCUGAUGUUAGCGGCGGACGGGUGAGUAACACGUGGAUAACCUACCUAUAAGACUGGGAUAACUUCGGGAAACCGGAGCUAAUACCGGAUGAUAUUUUGAACCGCAUGGUUCAAAAGUGAAAGACGGUCUUGCUGUCACUUAUAGAUGGAUCCGCGCUGCAUUAGCUAGUUGGUAAGGUAACGGCUUACCAAGGCAACGAUGCAUAGCCGACCUGAGAGGGUGAUCCGCCACACUGGACCUGAGACACGGUCCCGACUCCUACGGUCGGCCGCAGUAGGGAAUCUUCCGCACUGGGCGAAAGCCUGACGGAGCAACGCCGCGUGAGUGAUGAAGGUCUUCGGAUCGUAAAACUCUGUUAUUAGGGAAGAACAUAUGUGUAAGUAACUGUGCACAUCUUGACGGUACCUAAUCAGAAAGCCACGGCUAACUACGUG
RNAcentral lists this ribosomal RNA (497 nucleotides) under uncultured bacterium. Its description in RNAcentral is "partial 16S ribosomal RNA". It matches the Rfam family "Bacterial small subunit ribosomal RNA", at positions 28 to 507 of the family's 1533-position model. The record is from RNAcentral.